CGCGUAUACAAUCUACCUUUUACAGGAGGAUAGCCUUUAGAAAUGAAGAUUAAUACUCCAUAGUAUAAUGAUAUGGCAUCAUAUAAUUAUUAAAGCUUCGGUGGUAAAAGAUGAGUAUGCGUUCUAUUAGCUAGAUGGUGUGGUAACGGCAUACCAUGGCAACGAUAGAUAGGGGCCCUGAGAGGGGGAUCCCCCACACUGGUACUGAGACACGGACCAGACUCCUACGGGAGGCAGCAGUGAGGAAUAUUGGACAAUGGAGGCAACUCUGAUCCAGCCAUGCCGCGUGCAGGAAGACUG
RNAcentral lists this ribosomal RNA (300 nucleotides) under uncultured Psychroserpens sp. Its description in RNAcentral is "bacterial SSU rRNA". It matches the Rfam family "Bacterial small subunit ribosomal RNA", at positions 114 to 414 of the family's 1533-position model. The record is from RNAcentral. Lineage: Bacteria; Pseudomonadati; Bacteroidota; Flavobacteriia; Flavobacteriales; Flavobacteriaceae.